AGAACGAACGCUGGCGGCAUGCCUAACACAUGCAAGUCGAACGAGACCUUCGGGUCUAGUGGCGCACGGGUGCGUAACGCGUGGGAAUCUGCCCUUGGGUUCGGGAUAACAGUUGGAAACGACUGCUAAUACCGGAUGAUGACUUCGGUCCAAAGAUUUAUCGCCCAGGGAUGAGCCCGCGUAGGAUUAGCUAGUUGGUGAGGUAAAAGCUCACCAAGGCGACGAUCCUUAGCUGGUCUGAGAGGAUGAUCAGCCACACUGGGACUGAGACACGGCCCAGACUCCUACGGGAGGCAGCAGUGGGGAAUAUGGACAAUGGGCGAAAGCCUGAUCCAGCAAUGCCGCGUGAGUGAUGAAGGCCUUAGGGUGUAAAGUCUCGUUUUACCGGGAUGAUAAUGACAGUACCGGAGAAGUAACGCCCGACUAACUCCGUGACCAGCAGCCGC
This 446-nucleotide ribosomal RNA is filed under the name uncultured soil bacterium. RNAcentral describes it as "bacterial SSU rRNA". It matches the Rfam family "Bacterial small subunit ribosomal RNA", at positions 26 to 518 of the family's 1533-position model. The record is from RNAcentral.